Misgurnus anguillicaudatus (oriental weatherfish) is the source of this 1104-nucleotide non-coding RNA. Lineage: Eukaryota; Metazoa; Chordata; Actinopteri; Cypriniformes; Cobitidae. The record is from RefSeq and is a predicted model, not a curated record.
UUUACAUUUUUGAAACGAUAUUACUGAAACAUUUAGUAUAAUUAAUUAAUAUUUAUUUUGUUAGAGUAUGUGUUGUGCUAAAUAGUGAUACUAGAAGCUACAUUUAUAAUAUUUACCUCAGUUAAAAAAUACUGCUGGUAACGUUGAAGCACUUGACGGGCUUCGUCAACCGUCAGUUAUAAAAGCUCUGUUAAAUACAUUUUGUUCCGGGUUUUAAUGAAUUACGUUACAGUCCUGCUUUAUUUCUUUGUCAUUUUAAAUUAAAUUGCCAAUCAGAAUAAGACAGCUGUGUUGUAAGGAGACGAAAUUCGAGACAGUCAUUUCAGUGAAGCGCGUGGUCAAAGGAACCGGGUGGAAGACGGUAGAAGGGAAAUUAUAUGUAGUUAAAUGUUUGUCGCAGUUUUACACAUAUUCCGUGAGUAUUUUUCGCUUGUUCACGAGUGUUUUAUCAGGGUUGGAGCUAAACUCGGAAGGAAAGUGGAAACUGCUGGCCACAGUUGAGAACAUUCCGCCGGUCUGUAUUAUAAAUGCACGAUUGCAGUGCAGCGUUUGUAUCCGCAACAAAUAACCAUGGUUAAUAAAUGAUCAGACACGUCACUGGCUUUAAAAUAUAAACCCCAUUGAUGCAAAAAGAUGCUGCAUGGAAUGACAAUGAGGUUUGGAACAGACUUGGUGAAGAACAUGGAAACAUCUCUUAAUAAAAUGGCCCCAAACAUCAUCACGAGUGCAAAAGAAGGAAGUAAAAAACAUCUCUACGCCAAUCUCAUUGGAGCGGAAACCACAGAAGGUCUGGUGAGGAAUGCUGCACUUAUGUUAUUGCCAGCAUUAUUUCAAGAAAAUCCCAGCUUCCUUGACUGUGUAAAUGGUGUAGGUAUAGUCUUCUGUAAUUUAGUUAGCAUUUGAGGCACUUUAUUUAAAGUAACAUUCAAUGCAAAUAUAAAAAUAUUACUCUGUUUACCCUUAAAUAGCAUACAGCUCCACAUCAUUUAUUAUGAGUCUUGUUUUUUCGUGAGUGUCGCUUGCCUAGUUGUCAUACUUUAUUUGUGUUAUUAUGGGAUAAUUUUAAGUCUAUUUGAUGGCUUCUGUUAAUUGGUAAGAAGCACU